AUUCCUUGAAAGAGUGCGUAAUAGCUCACUAGUCGAGAGUCUCUGCGCCGACAAUGUAACGGGGCUAAGAUAUGAACCGAAGCUGUGGAUGUCGUAAGACAUGGUAGGAGAGCGUUCUGUAGGCCGUCGAAGGAGGACUGAAAGGAACUCUGGAGGUAUCAGAAGUGAGAAUGCAGGAAUAAGUAGCGAGAAGGGGAGUGAGAAUCUCCCCCGCUGGAAGACCAAGGUUUUCAGGGUAAAGCUUGUCUUCCCUGA
RNAcentral lists this ribosomal RNA (255 nucleotides) under Fusobacterium necrophorum. RNAcentral describes it as "partial 23S ribosomal RNA". It matches the Rfam family "Bacterial large subunit ribosomal RNA", at positions 1118 to 1378 of the family's 2925-position model. Lineage: Bacteria; Fusobacteriati; Fusobacteriota; Fusobacteriia; Fusobacteriales; Fusobacteriaceae. The record is from RNAcentral.